GUGAACCUGCAGAUGGAUCAUCGUCGAAACUUACAAUAGUUCAUCGUUGAUUCGCAUGAGAGGCCAACACGCUAGUUCUUCACGACUUUGUCGGGAAGGUUGGUAGUAUCAUAUCACCUUUGGAACCCUUCG
Molecule: ribosomal RNA, 132 nt
Filed under: Strongylus vulgaris
Lineage: Eukaryota; Metazoa; Nematoda; Chromadorea; Rhabditida; Strongylidae
Description: partial 18S ribosomal RNA
Source: RNAcentral